GACGAACGCUGGCGGCGUGCCUAACACAUGCAAGUCGAGCGAGUGAAUUUCCUUCGGGAUUGAAGCUAGCGGCGGACGGGUGAGUAACACGUGGGCAACCUGCCUCAUAGAGGGGAAUAGCCUUUCGAAAGGAAGAUUAAUACCGCAUAAGAUUGUAGCUUCGCAUGAAGUAGCAAUUAAAGGAGCAAUCCGCUAUGAGAUGGGCCAGCGGCGCAUUAGCUAGUUGGUGGGGUAACGGCUUACCAAGGCGACGAUGCGUAGCCGACCUGAGAGGGUGAUCGGCCACAUUGGGACUGAGACACGGCCCAGACUUCUACGGGAGGCAGCAGUGGGGAAUAUUGCACAAUGGGGGAAACCCUGAUGCAGCAACGCCGCGUGAGUGAUGACGGCCUUCGGGUUGUAAAGCUCUGUCUUCAGGGACGAUAAUGACGGUACCUGAGGAGGAAGCCACGGCUAACUACGUGCCAGCCGCCGCAGUAA
Molecule: ribosomal RNA, 480 nt
Filed under: uncultured bacterium
Lineage: Bacteria
Description: partial 16S ribosomal RNA
Rfam family: Bacterial small subunit ribosomal RNA
Source: RNAcentral